This is a long non-coding RNA of Telopea speciosissima, 1295 nucleotides long. RefSeq lists it as uncharacterized. The record is from RefSeq and is a predicted model, not a curated record. NCBI's taxonomy places the organism in Eukaryota, Viridiplantae, Streptophyta, Magnoliopsida, Proteales, Proteaceae. The transcript is spliced from 2 exons.
AUUACUCAUUUAAACCAUGGACAUCUGCAUCCGUUUGUUUUUCCUUUAGAGGCUUCUGGUGUUUGCACUCCCAUGCUACAUUUUUCGGAUACUAAAACAUGUUUGGUUACAAAUAUUAGCAAAAUACAAGUAAUUUUUCUGCAUGGAUGCCUCUGGAAUGCAGUUUUCUUGUCUUCUAUUUUCUAUCAGCAUUGCUCAUUACUCCUUACAAGCUCACUCACUUGUUUGAUAAUUAAGGAACCCUGUAAAUGUUAAAAGCUCAAUCAAAAUUGACAGGCGUUUAUGGCAAAUGAAAAUAUUUAAAUGUAGCUCAACACUCCGUCAUAUUGGAUAGCACAAUUUUAUUUGUGAAUUUUCCUUGAUUUCCAUAAUCAAUGAGUUUAAUCACUAAAUUCUCAUUGGGAUGUGUUCUUGUAUGUGAGGUAUUAGCUCUUGAGAAAAUUGUGUACCACACAGUGAUAUUAGGCCAGUUUUUUGAAAUAAGAUACAUAGCCACCUACUAGUUUGCCUCCCAACAGAAGUUUUUUGUUUUUCUACCCAAUACUAAAGUUCUAUUAAUGGAAGAUAAUGUUCUCAAUUCAAAGGCAAGCUGUACUGGUUCGGGCUACUUGGUAUCCCUGUUCUCUGCCUAAAAUCUGAAAUUACUAGUUUCUUAAAGCAUUAGAUUGCAAUUCGUAAAUGUUCUUUCUUUAUUAGAUUACACGAAUUAUGUUUUUUCUGUGUUGAAUUACCCUAUUUGAUGGUUGACCUUUAUCUCUUGUUUGGCUCAAUUUCCAGAACCUAUCUAAAGCUUCCUUGGAGGCCUCUCAUGUCCAUUGAAGGAAGUACAGUUUAUGAUUUAGGUGAUGAGUUCAAAAUUGUGAGACAUGCUGAGAGCUGGAAUGUGUCAGCACUUGAAGCAGUUGCCCAAAUAUUCACUCCUAGUUUAGAAAGGAAUGGUGAAUGAACCAAGUAUCUCCAUAAAGUGUCUGAUGACAUUAUUGUAUGGCUAUGAAAUGCAGAGAGCUGCCCAAAGUUGAAUUGCAGGUUACAUAUAAUGUUUAAUACAUGUAGCAUAUGAAGCCUAGGUUCUUCAUCUCAUUGUUGUAAUUGUUUCAUUGGGCAGAUUGUCAAUUCGCCGUUACUGCAAACAACAUGCUAAUCUGAUCCCCCAACUCCAGUGCUAGGCUACUUGAAGUAGAAACAUAACUAGACCAGAGUCGCUGUAUUCUCUUUGACUGUGAUAUAUACACUACUUAUUUUGGAUGAUUUCAUGUUCCCUGAAGCUAUGGAAUGUUGUACAGUCUUGCAGUUGA